RNAcentral lists this ribosomal RNA (429 nucleotides) under Bacteroidota bacterium. RNAcentral describes it as "Bacteroidetes bacterium partial 16S ribosomal RNA". It matches the Rfam family "Bacterial small subunit ribosomal RNA", at positions 355 to 776 of the family's 1533-position model. Lineage: Bacteria; Pseudomonadati; Bacteroidota. The record is from RNAcentral.
UAGGGAAUCUUCCGCAAUGGACGCAAGUCUGACGGAGCAACGCCGCGUGAGUGAAGAAGGAUUUCGGUUCGUAAAACUCUGUUGUUAGAGAAGAACAGCGCAUAGAGUAACUGUUAUGCGUGUGACGGUAUCUAACCAGAAAGCCACGGCUAACUACGUGCCAGCAGCCGCGGUAAUACGUAGGUGGCAAGCGUUGUCCGGAUUUAUUGGGCGUAAAGCGAGCGCAGGCGGUCAACUAAGUCUGAUGUGAAAGCCCCCGGCUCAACCGGGGAGGGUCAUUGGAAACUGGUUGACUUGAGUGCAGAAGAGGAGAGUGGAAUUCCAUGUGUAGCGGUGAAAUGCGUAGAUAUAUGGAGGAACACCAGUGGCGAAGGCGACUCUCUGGUCUGUAACUGACGCUGAGGCUCGAAAGCGUGGGUAGCAAACAGG